Molecule: microRNA precursor, 126 nt
Filed under: Gossypium barbadense (sea-island cotton)
Lineage: Eukaryota; Viridiplantae; Streptophyta; Magnoliopsida; Malvales; Malvaceae
Also listed under: 2 other names
Description: mir-172 microRNA precursor family
Rfam family: mir-172 microRNA precursor family
About the family: mir-172 has been experimentally verified in Arabidopsis thaliana. This family is thought to target mRNAs coding for APETALA2-like transcription factors.
Source: Rfam by way of RNAcentral
UUGUUUUCUGUUGGAGCAUCAUCAAGAUUCACAAAAAGCAUUUUAAGGUUUUUUUAAUUGAAUUGAUCAAUCAGCGCUUUAUGAAUAUGUUUUUGAGAAUCUUGAUGAUGCUGCAGUGGCAAUAAA